This is a long non-coding RNA of Falco peregrinus (peregrine falcon), 1767 nucleotides long. RefSeq lists it as uncharacterized. The transcript is spliced from 3 exons. The record is from RefSeq and is a predicted model, not a curated record. NCBI's taxonomy places the organism in Eukaryota, Metazoa, Chordata, Aves, Falconiformes, Falconidae.
AGGGCAGCGGUGCUGGAGGAGUGAGCGCGGCUCAGCAGCAGCCCUGUGCUGCACGCGCAGCUGGCCUGUCUCCCCCUUAGGCUGCAAACAAGGAUUGAUUGCCCGAUGUGGGUUCCUGCCGUUCCCUCUGGUACGGUCCCCGGAGGCUCCGCGGGUAACUUAUGGCUGCGUCGGUGCAGGUGGCUGCUCGCAGGUUGGCAGCUUCGCCACUGGGCACCUGUGCCUGCACUGAGGCACUAAAUAAGCCCAAUGGCUUCGCUUCCCAUCCCAGCCAGGGUACCCCAGCCAAGCUGCAGGUAAAAGGGCAGCGGGGUGGAAUCCUCCCACCCAGAACCCAGCCUCAGUGCCACAAAUCACUGGCCCACCCCUGCGGGCACUGGGGUCCCCAGGCCAGGGGAGCAGAUGGCUGCAGCCAGCUCAUGGCGUUCUUGUUACAGCAGGCAACGGGGUCCCUUAAAUACCAAUACCGCAAUUAAAUGGGACUCACCGAUCACUGUGAAGUCUUGCUACCUGGCUGCACACGGGGCGAGCAGAGGCAGCCGGUGCCUUGCCCGGCGGAGGCUGGCAGCACUGCUGGCGCUCGCUCCGUGCCCUGGGAGAUGCGUGGAGACAUAUGCUUCCCCAGUCUGCUCGAGCCUUGGUGCAUUUCAGCCAUUCCCUGCAAAUGGCCUCAGAGGGUUUAGUUGUGGAAGGAGGUGCCGGGGACACCAAGGCGACGAGAUGUUGGCUGCCCUGCAGCCCCCAUUGUGCUGCAAUGGAAAAGGCUGGAAGAGUCAGGGAGAAGUUGGGGGUGGGAGGAAAGCCCCAGGGCCACGUGCUGGGUAUUUCUGGGGGCACAGGCUCCGAUAAAGCUGGACCUCUGCCCUAGGGUGAACCAAGUCACCCUGAACCUAGGCCAUCCCAGUCAGAGGUAUAAGCCCAGCCUAUAAACCUGUGCCUUCAAGGAUUUAGUGUCUCUUGAGCCUUGUCCUGACUCAAGACAGCUGGAAAAACAGAAGAGAGCUUGCAACUGUCUCCCCAGGUUUCCCUGACUGUGGUGAGCGCUUCCAGUAUCAUCUCACCAGUUUGAAAGACCGGAGGAUGUGACCUGACCUGGUGCCUGCAGCCAGCAUCACACCCCCAGCUCCCAGCUCUCCCUUCGGGCAGCAGGGAUGUGCCAGGGGAGCGUACAUGGAGAGCAGGAACUUCCAGAAGGCUUCUUCAAAUCACUAACCCCUUCCUAAGGAUGCUAAACCCCUUCCUAAAUCUGUCACCCUAAAACAGGUGCAUGGGCUGAAGUCAGAGCUGGAGUGAAACAUCCCUGCUCCAUCCGGGUGGUGUUACGCACUUGGUGGUGAUGCCAGGACUCUGCGUGAGGGACAGACCCAGCUCAGCAAUUCCUGGGGAGCUGCCUUGUGGAAACCAGGCUCUACAACCCUUACUGUCCUACCAGGAGAAGAAACAUGUUGACUUACAGAACCACUCCGAGGGCUCGCGGCUGGGAAGCUGAAGCCAAGAGGCUGCAGAUGCAUUGCAGGCUGCAAACGCCCUGCUACCCUGGGGCAAGGCUUGUGGGAGAGCGGUAUUUCACGCGGCUGGACAUUUCUUCCUCGCCAAGGUUUGUGAUGCUCCUCAAGGGAUCUCUGUGCUGCAAUAUAACAUCCCUGUAUAGGGAAAUCGUCUUAAGUAAUGGUUUCUGCAGGUUUUUUUUCCAAGGUAUAUUUAUCAUAUCUUUUAUUGGAAUAAAAUUAAAGCGAAAUUAGAAACUAAAAUAACUUUAAUUACGAA